UAGUCCACGCCGUAAACGAUGUCAACUAGCCAUUGGGAGCAUAUAAGCUCUGAGUGGCGCAGCUAACGCGAUAAGUUGACCGCCUGGGGAGUACGCCAGCAACGGUAAAACUCAAAGGAAUUGACGGGGGCCCGCACAAGCGGUGGAUUAUGUGGUUUAAUUCGAAGCAACGCGCAGAACCUUACCUAGGCUUGAAAUCCCUCGAAUCCCGAGUAAUUUUGGGAGUGCCCGCAAGGGAAUGAGGUGACAGGUGCUGCAUGGCUGUCGUCAGCUCGUGUUGUGAAAUGUUGGGUUAAGUCUCGCAACGAGCGCAACCCCUAUCUUUAGUUGCCAGCAUUAAGUUGGGCACUCUAGAGAGACUGCCCGGGUUAACCGGGAGGAAGGUGGGGAGUGACGUCAAGUCCUCAUGGCCCUUAUGCCUAGGGCUACACACGUAAUACAAUGGUGCAUACAGAGGGAAGCGAUCGGGUGACCGUUAGCAAAUCUCAAAAAGUGCAUCUCAGUCCGG
RNAcentral lists this ribosomal RNA (508 nucleotides) under uncultured bacterium. Its description in RNAcentral is "bacterial SSU rRNA". It matches the Rfam family "Bacterial small subunit ribosomal RNA", at positions 791 to 1296 of the family's 1533-position model. The record is from RNAcentral.